UGUUCUGUGUUGAUCAUUAGGAAUCAGCUACAUGGGUGCAGUUCCCUAGGGUAUUAUUAAAUACCAUCAGCUGAGGGUUGGUUUAUGGGCUGAAACUCUCCUUACCUUCUGUACCUGCAUCUAGUUUUGCCCUUGCAAUAAUACUUUUGAUAGUGACAGCUUUCCCUUGAGGAGUGAAGCAGCCACAAACCCUGGGAUGUAAUGACAAAAUCCACCAAAGCCUCAACAUCUAACACACAACACUCUGGGAUUAUCAGUCAUAGAGGUGGUUGCCAUGAAGCUAUUGUUAGGUGUGCUGUUCCUUUGGUUGCUCUCCUCAGAAGGUAAGUUUUGGAAGGCCCUUUGAAAAUUUGCAUUGCACAGUAUUUGGGAAUCUCUAUUUUUAGUUGCUGCAAGGUGGUUGUAUAGCAGGAGUUUUAGAAGCAGGAUGAGAAAAUCUGUGAGUUAAACUGUGAUCUUAAACGCAGUUUUGGGUAUGUUUGAUCAUUUUUGGAGGAAGAUGUAUUCAUUGGUUUGCACUGUUCUGGGGAUAGACUGUGUCUUAGGCACUGAAGCAUUCUGGUGAGAGAAACAUCACCAAACAAUUAGACUAGCAGUGAGAUUGUGCCAAAAUGGUGCAGAAAUUCAAGCAAGGAACAGAGGCUUUCUAUGAAUUCAUAACUAUGGUCAUCUUCUUUUCAGUGAUAGAAGAUCAAGUGAAAGGUUAGUCAGCAUCCUGGCAUUCCAGGCAUUGUUCAGAUUUCUGUAAUAUUCAGGGUAGGGGGGAGCCUUUGUUCACUAUACUGGGUCUCUGAAGUCCAUGUUUGGUGCCAAUUACAGUUUUGUCGGUGCUCAAGACUGAAAAUGCUGUGUAUGCUUUGGCUUUAUUGACUCUGUGCUUCAGGUCUCUGCCUGUAAGAAAAUAAUGAUAACUGGUAAUAGUGUUUUACCUUAGCAGUAG
This 940-nucleotide long non-coding RNA is filed under the name Taeniopygia guttata (zebra finch). RNAcentral describes it as "lncRNA (ENSTGUG00000026298.1)". Lineage: Eukaryota; Metazoa; Chordata; Aves; Passeriformes; Estrildidae. The record is from RNAcentral.